GCAAACUUGGUCAUUUAGAGGAAGUAAAAGUCGUAACAAGGUUUCCGUAGGUGAACCUGCGGAAGGAUCAUUAAAGAAAUAAACCUGGUGGGCUGUCGCUGGCAUGAACUUGCAUGUGCACGUCCAUCAUCUUUAUCCAUCUCCACCUGUGCACCUUUUGUAGACCUGGAUCGCAUUUCAGAGACUCCUGGAAUCGGGAUUGACGAUGUCUUGUCGUUCUUUCCUUGGUUGUGUAUAGCAAUCAGAGUCUUCUGUCGUUGGGAUUGCAAGAUGUAGUGUCGAGCUCUCCUCGGUUUGCGUAUCCAGUGCUCUAUGUCAUUUUUACACAAACGAAUAAAUUAGAAUGUUGUUACAGGUCUUUGCACCUAUAAUAAAACUAUACAACUUUCAGCAACGGAUCUCUUGGCUCUCGCAUCGAUGAAGAACGCAGC
Molecule: unclassified non-coding RNA, 431 nt
Filed under: uncultured fungus
Lineage: Eukaryota; Fungi
Description: partial contains small subunit ribosomal RNA, internal transcribed spacer 1, and 5.8S ribosomal RNA
Rfam family: Eukaryotic small subunit ribosomal RNA (bases 1-73)
Source: RNAcentral